UGGGGAAUAUUGCACAAUGGGCGCAAGCCUGAUGCAGCCAUGCCGCGUGUAUGAAGAAGGCCUUCGGGUUGUAAAGUACUUUCAGCGGGGAGGAAGGGAGUAAAGUUAAUACCUUUGCUCAUUGACGUUACCCGCAGAAGAAGCACCGGCUAACUCCGUGCCAGCAGCCGCGGUAAUACGGAGGGUGCAAGCGUUAAUCGGAAUUACUGGGCGUAAAGCGCACGCAGGCGGUUUGUUAAGUCAGAUGUGAAAUCCCCGGGCUCAACCUGGGAAAUGCAUCCGAUACUGGCAAGCUUGAGUCUCGUAGAGGGGGGUAGAAUUCCAGGUGUGGCGGUGAAAUGCGUAGAGAUCUGGAGGAAUACCGGUGGCGAAGGCGGACCCCUGGACGAAGACUGACGCUCAGGUGCGAAAGCGUGGGGAGCAAACAGG
Molecule: ribosomal RNA, 429 nt
Filed under: Chloroflexota bacterium
Lineage: Bacteria; Bacillati; Chloroflexota
Description: Chloroflexi bacterium partial 16S ribosomal RNA
Rfam family: Bacterial small subunit ribosomal RNA
Source: RNAcentral